This is a long non-coding RNA of Olea europaea var. sylvestris, 2364 nucleotides long. RefSeq lists it as uncharacterized. NCBI's taxonomy places the organism in Eukaryota, Viridiplantae, Streptophyta, Magnoliopsida, Lamiales, Oleaceae. The record is from RefSeq and is a predicted model, not a curated record. The transcript is spliced from 2 exons.
UCAACUUGUCUACAAAGAAGAAUUUAUUUAUUUAUAUCACCAUAAAAAAUACUAUAAAAAUAUGAUAAAUGCUAGGGUUUGCAAUUGGAUCCUGCGAAUACACAAAGGCACAGCCGAAUAUGAUAAAUGCUAGGGUUUGCAAUUGGAUCCAACGAAUACACAAAGGCACAGCCGAAUGCUCCAAUCCUUCAAUCUUUUCUGUUUCCUCGCUACAAAUUGUGUUUAACACAAUCAAUUUUAUUGUUUUCAUGUUUGAUGAAGAUGAUGUAUGCUGCAACAAUUCACAGAAGAGUCAGAUUUCAAGUUUGUGCGUGAAUCUGAUGAGAUGAGUACGCACUUGAUGUGGGGGAUGUUGAUAGUCAAUUCUAUCAACAUUUUCCUGAUUUGAUAAUCAAUCGGUGUUGUAUUAGUUUGUUAGAUUCACGCACAAACUCGUAAUCUGUCUUUUCGAUUUCCGCUCUGGUUUUAUCAGUCUUACCUUUCCCCGGUUUGUUAUGUUCUUGAUCUCGAUCCCGAUCUCGAUCUCCAAGGAAGUUCAUAAAUGGAAUUCCUAGAUUGGCGAAUCUGCUGGAACAGACUAAUAAAAUUAGGGGAACUGUGGUUAUUAGAUUAUUAAGAGCAUAGGGCUUUUGCUUUUGCCUCUUGUAGAAGAGCUUCUUCAGCUCUAGCCAGGCAAAGCACCCCCACAACAUUUUAUAAACAUGUUCAAAAGCAGCUAUUUAGGCCAGAAGCAGCUUUCAGCUUUUCAAAAGCCAUGCCAAAUUGGCUUAAUAUGAUGAACAUGAUAAAUAUGUUCUAUUUUGUGAAAUUUAGGAACUUUGUAUUGAAUAUAUUUUCGAAUUGAGAUUGUUUUAGUUUCAUUAUUAUUUUUAUCUUAUAGUUUUGCUAAGAUUGAAAGCAAAUCCUUAUCCUUUCUAACAUUUGAAGCUUAUGUUGAGGAUAGAGAUAUAAGCUGUAGAUAAGUAUUGGGAAGAUGAAUCCGUAUAUACAUCUAGUUUAUGUUUGGCUAGGCUUAAUAAAUUUACUUAUAAGUGAAAAAGGUAGAGUUGGAAAUAUUAAAGUUAUUGUCUUGUUCAUUGUCCAAAGAAGUAACUUCUUUAGAGAAUCUCCGAAAGGCUCUCUAACAGAGAGCUUCUUAUAUAUGAUAGAGAGCAUCAUUAAAUUUAUAGUGUAAAUUUUUUUUUAAACCCUCCAACAAUGCUAUCUAUUUUAACAUUAUUUUUCUUUUUUUCAUAAACAUUUAUUGUUUCCCUUCAUCUAUUUACUUUUUUUUUUUUUUUUUUUUAAGAUUUUUAUGGCCAAUCAAUUCAAAUAUGGUUUGAAUAAUUUGAGAAGUGGAAUAUUGAGAACUGUAACUUAUCAAAUGUAAUCAUUACAAUGUAAAAAUAGAGAGUAAGUUUAGCUCUUCAAAUCCAGAGAAAAUCACUCUAUAUUUUAAAAAAUUAACAGCCUUUUGGAGCUUAUUUUUAUGCAUUGGCUUUAUAAAAUAAAGAGAAUCUUGUAAUUAGAGAGUCUCUUUGAGGCGCUUUUCAUUAUCAAUAAGAAGAAAGUAAAAUUUUAGUGAUAUCCAAACAUCUUUAAUUUGCUUACAAUCGAAGCUCAAGAUGCUGAUAAUUAUGUUCUCUUCUGAUUCAGCUUGUCCAAUUAUUACUUGUUACCAAGUACGUAUAUUAAAUAUAUGUAUUUUCUGAGUCGAUUUAUGACUGAAAUUCUCUUGUGGUGCUUUAUACUGAAAAUUUAUGGAAUUAAUGAUCUAGAUAGAAAUCAGAUUUGUUUUUGGUUUUUGUUAUGAACAUUGUUGAAAUGGAAAAAUACUUCUGCAUUUUUGUCUUAAAGACUAUGCUGAAGAUGAAGUAUGCCAGAAAUAUAGGAAAAAAUGUCUUUAAUAGUCAUUAAUUCUCUUGGCCAUCAUGGAAAUGUAGGGGAUAAAUACCAUUUCCCUUUCUUUACCUACGUGUGAAAAGUGUUUCAAGUCCCACUCAUCUCCAGUGUCUCUUUCACUAUCUUUUCCCUACCCCUUGUCCACUUCUUUGAUCUACAUGUGUAUGUAUGCUUAGAUUUGAUUGGCAUUGUUUCAUUCAAUAGGUUCAUUAUACACGUGCAUGCCAUUUGAGAUUGGAUUUUCUGAAAUAUGGUAACUUUUGGUUUCAAUUUAUGCAGAGACUUGAUGGGAUUAGUGACAUUGUUAACUGAUAUUUCCAGGUUUAAUGAAUGUGUUAUGAAGUAUGAACCUCUUUAUUUUUGUAUAGUUUGAGAGAUUAAGUCAAUUUCUGGUGGCAAAUUCUUGAGUAGUUCAGAAUAGCCUUUCUAGCAGAGUGGAAAUUUUACCCUUUUUAUUAGUUUAAGAUAAGAUGCAUUUUUGGA